GAUUUCUGGGAUUUUGGCCUUGGUCCGCCGGUUUACGCCGGUUGUGUUUGCCGAGGUUGGGUCUCAUCCUCCCGGAGUAUCUAGCCUGCCCUUUACUGGGUUGGGCUAGUGUGCUCUGGGACAUUUACUUUGAAAAAAUUAGAGUGUUUCAAGCAGGCUUUAUGCUAUGAAUACAUUAGCAUGGAAUAAUAAUUUAGGACUUCGGUUCUAUUUUGUUGGUUUCUAGGACUGAAGUAAUGAUUGAUAGGGAUAGUUGGGGGUGCUAGUAUUCAGCGGCCAGAGGUGAAAUUCUCGGAUUCGCUGAAGACUAACUUAUGCGAAAGCAUU
RNAcentral lists this ribosomal RNA (327 nucleotides) under Cercozoa sp. Its description in RNAcentral is "SSU rRNA". It matches the Rfam family "Eukaryotic small subunit ribosomal RNA", at positions 634 to 955 of the family's 1831-position model. The record is from RNAcentral. Lineage: Eukaryota; Cercozoa.